CGGUCUCCUCCUAAAGAGUAACGGAGGAGCACGAAGGUUGGCUAAUCCUGGUCGGACAUCAGGAGGUUAGUGCAAUGGCAUAAGCCAGCUUGACUGCGAGCGUGACGGCGCGAGCAGGUGCGAAAGCAGGUCAUAGUGAUCCGGUGGUUCUGAAUGGAAGGGCCAUCGCUCAACGGAUAAAAGGUACUCCGGGGAUAACAGGCUGAUACCGCCCAAGAGUUCAUAUCGACGGCGGUGUUUGGCACCUCGAUGUCGGCUCAUCACAUCCUGGGGCUGAAGUAGGUCCCAAGGGUAUGGCUGUUCGCCAUUUAAAGUGGUACGCGAGCUGGGUUUAGAACGUCGUGAGACAGUUCGGUCCCUAUCUGCCGUGGGCGCUGGAGAACUGAGGGGGGCUGCUCCUAGUACGAGAGGACCGGAGUGGACGCAUCACUGGUGUUCGGGUUGUCAUGCCAAUGGCACUGCCCGGUAGCUAAAUGCGGAAGAGAUAAGUGCUGAAAGCAUCUAAGCACGAAACUUGCCCCGAGAUGAGUUCUCCCUGAGACUUAGAGUCUCCUGAAGGAACGUUGAAGACGACGACGUUGAUAGGCCGGGUGUGUAAGCGCAGCGAUGCGUUGAGCUAACCGGUACUAAUGAACCGUGAGGCUUAACCUUACAACGCCGAAG
This 663-nucleotide ribosomal RNA is filed under the name Salmonella enterica. RNAcentral's name for it is "partial 23S ribosomal RNA". It matches the Rfam family "Bacterial large subunit ribosomal RNA", at positions 2280 to 2925 of the family's 2925-position model. The record is from RNAcentral. Lineage: Bacteria; Pseudomonadati; Pseudomonadota; Gammaproteobacteria; Enterobacterales; Enterobacteriaceae.